Aquila chrysaetos chrysaetos is the source of this 300-nucleotide long non-coding RNA. RefSeq lists it as uncharacterized. The transcript has 3 exons. The record is from RefSeq and is a predicted model, not a curated record. Lineage: Eukaryota; Metazoa; Chordata; Aves; Accipitriformes; Accipitridae.
CAGGCUUCUGUGGGUGAAGUAAAAUCUCAUAGCCUGGGACGGAGCGAGGCACAGGAGUGUGCUCCUGCAGCCGGUCCUCUUCCAGGAAGGCACUCUCAGAUGCUUGUUUAUUGCAACUGCACCAUCAAAAAGUAAACUAAAAUUGCUAUGAAAAGAAGAAAAGCUUCAAAACUAGCAUGAAGAUUGUCAGUCCCUGAGAAUUACCCACAAAUAUGUUUUAUGUGACUGGGAAAAAUCUGUCGCCAUCAAUAUAGAGUACAUAGGUGUCAGUCGGGAUGCAUCAAUGCACUCUGUUUUGGC